Molecule: long non-coding RNA, 867 nt
Organism: Thalassophryne amazonica
Lineage: Eukaryota; Metazoa; Chordata; Actinopteri; Batrachoidiformes; Batrachoididae
Exons: 2
Source: RefSeq, a predicted model, not a curated record
UUACACACAGGACACUGCUGCCGGCUGGGCCGUGUCUCCAACCACUGAGCGAGAGGGAAACACGUCAACAUCUUUAGUAUUGUGGAAACAAACUUUCUGAGUGGGCCUCCAUGAAAUCAAUUCUGCAACAGAUUUACUGUCAUGGUCUCUAAAACCUUAAAAUCCAUGAACCCCGAGGAAGACCAGGUGUAUGGUUGAAACAUGUUGGCUUGGCCAUUAAAAUAAAGGCCUUUUAACACCUUCUUGUGCAGCUCAUACUUCUGGAGUGCCUGGACUACAGUUGUUUCUGUGAUCUAGUAUACCUUUUUCCAAGAGCACCCUUAAUAUUUUUCUGCUUUAUUGAGAUAACCACGGCAACCAGUCUUUUUCCUCAUCCAUCUUCCACCUCUGAGCUUUCUGCCCCAUGUAACUUUGUGUCAACGUAAUUUACACUUUGUAUAAAAGUGAUUAAAGUUUUCCAGGAUUUACUUUAUUUGGAGAGCACCCAAAAUACACGAAAGUGUCGGCUGGUUCACCACUUUUUUCUGCAUUUUAUAACAAUCUAUUUGAUUAUCAACGAUUUUUUUUAAAAAGAUGACAAGUUGAUUUUAUUAUAAACUGCAGAUGUCUAGAACAGCUGCUCUCAAACUGUGGUCUGUGAGUGACCCCUAAUGGUCCAUUAGCAUAGUGGUAAAAUGACAUUUAAAAAUAAUCAUUUUCAAACUUAAGUGUUCUUCAAACUGUUUAAAGGAGACCCCAAAGGCUAAUAAACUGUAAAAUGUUGUAACAUACUGGUAUGGUCGUACUAUUGUUUUUGGACAUUUGGGGAGUUUGGUGGCCUGUAAGAUUAUUUAUUGAUUUAUUUACUGGUUAAGUGGCCUUUGGUCU